GUGGGUAGUUUGACUGGGGCGGUCUCCUCCUAAAGAGUAACGGAGGAGCACGAAGGUUGGCUAAUCCUGGUCGGACAUCAGGAGGUUAGUGCAAUGGCAUAAGCCAGCUUGACUGCGAGCGUGACGGCGCGAGCAGGUGCGAAAGCAGGUCAUAGUGAUCCGGUGGUUCUGAAUGGAAGGGCCAUCGCUCAACGGAUAAAAGGUACUCCGGGGAUAACAGGCUGAUACCGCCCAAGAGUUCAUAUCGACGGCGGUGUUUGGCACCUCGAUGUCGGCUCAUCACAUCCUGGGGCUGAAGUAGGUCCCAAGGGUAUGGCUGUUCGCCAUUUAAAGUGGUACGCGAGCUGGGUUUAGAACGUCGUGAGACAGUUCGGUCCCUAUCUGCCGUGGGCGCUGGAGAACUGAGGGGGGCUGCUCCUAGUACGAGAGGACCGGAGUGGACGCAUCACUGGUGUUCGGGUUGUCAUGCCAAUGGCACUGCCCGGUAGCUAAAUGCGGAAGAGAUAAGUGCUGAAAGCAUCUAAGCACGAAACUUGCCCCGAGAUGAGUUCUCCCUGAGACUUUAGGUCUCCUGAAGGAACGUUGAAGACGACGACGUUGAUAGGCCGGGUGUGUAAGCGCAGCGAUGCG
RNAcentral lists this ribosomal RNA (630 nucleotides) under Salmonella enterica subsp. enterica serovar Muenchen. Its description in RNAcentral is "partial 23S ribosomal RNA". It matches the Rfam family "Bacterial large subunit ribosomal RNA", at positions 2261 to 2885 of the family's 2925-position model. The record is from RNAcentral. Lineage: Bacteria; Pseudomonadati; Pseudomonadota; Gammaproteobacteria; Enterobacterales; Enterobacteriaceae. RNAcentral also lists the same sequence under 1 other name.